CUGCCCAGGGAGGAAGCUGGGUCUUAUGACUUGUCACUAUACCCCUGUCUGCUCCACUUCAAUGCUAGCAGCACUUUCAAACAAUUAAGCAGACAUAAAUCCUGAAGGCUGGGAGGCCGAGGCAGGUGGAUCACAAGGUCAGGAGUUUGACACCAGCCUGGCCAAUAUGGUGAAACCCUGUCUCUAAUAAAAAUACAAAAAAAAAAAAAAUUGGCCGGGCGUGGUGGCAUGCAGCUGUAGUCCC
RNAcentral lists this long non-coding RNA (244 nucleotides) under Pan troglodytes (chimpanzee). RNAcentral describes it as "long non-coding RNA NONPTRT006918". The record is from RNAcentral. Lineage: Eukaryota; Metazoa; Chordata; Mammalia; Primates; Hominidae.